UGGUGCAGACUUGGACUGUCUCAGACAUCUGCAACAGCUCGUUAUCAAAGCUUGAAGAUCAGCUUCAGAUCAGAAACCAUGAGGGCAUCUUCUUUGUGUCUGUUGUUCGGGCUGGUCCUGAUGAUGACCUGGACUUCUGAGGCUCAGCCUUAUGGUCCUGCAGUCCCUCAGAAUUGCUGCUUCAAUUUUAUCGACUUUCAAAUUCCAAUCACAAAAAUUGUGAAUGCUGUGAAGACAAAUUCACAUUGCCCUGUCCCUGGCAUUGUGGUUACGACACCUAGAACCACAUUUUGUGUGAAACCAGACGAGGCUUGGAUAAAAAAAUAUAUGGAGAAGCAUUCAUCUUAAGAAAUAAAAACACAUUAUAUUAUGCACAAAAUAAUACUGUUACUGCUUUUUUUAACAACUGUCCUUUCUUAAGAAAUGAAUUUUUGGAUUUCCUGAAACUGAAUUAAACUCUUUUCAUUGGUAACACUUUACAAUAAAGUUCAUUAGUUAACAUUAGUUAACUACUUUAGUUAACAUGAACUAAGAAUGAACAAUACCUCUACAGCAUUUAUUAGUCUUAAAUUAAUGUUAAUUUCAACAUUUAUGGAACCUUUUUGUAAAGUGAUACCUUUUCAUUUAGCACUUAAUCUUUGCAAAUAAAUAUUAAAAUGCAAUGAGA
Molecule: RNA transcript, 667 nt
Organism: Carassius gibelio (silver crucian carp)
Lineage: Eukaryota; Metazoa; Chordata; Actinopteri; Cypriniformes; Cyprinidae
Gene name: C-C motif chemokine 14-like
Exons: 3
Source: RefSeq, a predicted model, not a curated record